Molecule: ribosomal RNA, 440 nt
Filed under: uncultured bacterium
Lineage: Bacteria
Description: partial 16S ribosomal RNA
Rfam family: Bacterial small subunit ribosomal RNA
Source: RNAcentral
CCUACGGGGGGCUGCAGUAGGGAAUAUUGCUCAAUGGGGGAAACCCUGAAGCAGCAACGCCGCGUGGAGGAUGAAGGUUUUCGGAUUGUAAACUCCUUUUGUUAGAGAAGAUAAUGACGGUAUCUAACGGAUAAGCACUGGCUAACUCCGUGCCAGCAGCCGCGGUAAUACGGAGGGUGCAAGCGUUACUCGGAAUCACUGGGCGUAACGAGCGCGUAGGCGGGAUAGCAAGUCAGAUGUGAAAUCCUAUGGCUUAACCAUAGAACUGCAUUUGAAACUGUUAUUCUAGAGUAUGGGAGAGGUAGGUGGAAUUCUUGGUGUAGGGGUAAAAUCCGUAGAGAUCAAGAGGAAUACUCAUUGCGAAGGCGACCUGCUAGAACAUAACUGACGCUGAUGCGCGAAAGCGUGGGGAGCAAACAGGAUUAGAUACCCGAGUAGUC